GCUAACUAGUAACUAGUACUAUCUACUUGCACAUCACAGUACAGAGUAGUGUAUUACAGCUGCUAUCAUUCUACACCGCCGUCGCGGUGGGAUCCCAUGGCCGCCGCGUGCCUCGCCGCCGACCACACAAUAAAACUGAGCCGGAAGCCUCGCCGCGGCAGCGUGGGACCCAUACCAGGAGAGCAGCCAGAACCAACGUGCAGCUCGAUCGAUGAUGCGUCGACAAGGACUAGGAGUAGGAGCUAAUAAAGAAGGAAGAAUUAAGAAGAGAAAUCGAAGCCAGCGUUAGAGCCAGCAGACGAGCUAUGUGUCCUGAUGGCUACUCCAGCCGCAGGAUAAGCCUGAGGUCGCGCGUCGCGGCGGCGGCGGCGUCGACGGCGGUCGUCAUGGCCACGGCCACGGCCUUCCUGGCAGGGAACUGCGGUAGCGGCAGCAAGCUCGGGUCGGGGGACGUCGAGAACGAUGGGCCGGCGUACACCUCCGCCGCAGGCCUCGCCCUUCUGCCGCCGGGGUGUCUUCGCCCCGCCGCGGGGGACGAUGUCCCGGCCGGCGGCGACCUCCUCCUGGUGGCGGUGGCGCCGGGGUGGUGGCUGUCGCUACCAGCUGCCCUCCGGCGCGCCGCCGCCGCCGCCCGGAUCCUCUGCGGCGGCGCCGGCAAGAGGACGUUGCGCGCGCGCAGCACGUCGGUGGCCAUGCCGACGACGGGAGAGGGGGAGGUG
Molecule: unclassified non-coding RNA, 719 nt
Filed under: Zea mays
Lineage: Eukaryota; Viridiplantae; Streptophyta; Magnoliopsida; Poales; Poaceae
Description: misc RNA Zm00001eb323080
Source: RNAcentral